This 220-nucleotide long non-coding RNA is filed under the name Elaeis guineensis (African oil palm). Its description in RNAcentral is "long non-coding RNA (EGUI_LNC018589)". The record is from RNAcentral. Lineage: Eukaryota; Viridiplantae; Streptophyta; Magnoliopsida; Arecales; Arecaceae.
UCUUCUUCCAUCCAUGGAUGGAAGAAUCAAUUCUUUUUUAUUUUUUCUUCUUUAUCUUGGGGUUUUCUGACUUCUUGGGGUGCACCGAGAGUGAGCUCGAAUGAUCACAGCCGAGUUGAUGUCGUCGAUUGGAAAGACUUCCUAUGUUUGAAAGAUAUGAAAGUCCCUUCGUAACGAGAGCUGUUGAUGGAGCAGACCAUGUACGAUACUAAACUUAGUU